This 475-nucleotide long non-coding RNA is filed under the name Numida meleagris (helmeted guineafowl). Its description in RNAcentral is "lncRNA (ENSNMEG00000022336.1)". Lineage: Eukaryota; Metazoa; Chordata; Aves; Galliformes; Numididae. The record is from RNAcentral.
CCUGGUUUACAGUAGAACACAUCUGUUCUCAUAUGUUGUACAAGUCUUUCCGAAGCUCUGUGACAACUUUGAUACAGGAGGGAUGUCCUACUUAAAUACAUCACUUUAAUUUCUCAGCACCCGUAUAAUUCCUAGCACUGGACUAAGAAGAAGUUUUAGUGGAAACAUCUGUGUACAUCUGCAGUACAGUUCUGGAUCAAUAAGCCUCUGUGUUAAUUGCAGAAUUUCUUGCUGUUAAGUCCAGAACACCUGCUGUAAAACAAGAGGGGUCCCAGGAUGCAAGCCAGGGCACUAGUGUUCCGUUAGAAGGUUUGGUCAGCCUGAAAUGCCUGUGGGCUGGGCUGAUUUCCAGAGCACCCUGAGGAAAACCUGCACUGGGUCUUCAGGACUCCAGAAAGCGUGACUCUUUGACUGUUCCAUGGUCUGAUAUGGCUUAGAGUGCCUCACCUCCUCCACUGCCCAGCUCUGCCAGAGU